Aegilops tauschii subsp. strangulata is the source of this 1445-nucleotide RNA transcript. RefSeq lists it as uncharacterized. The record is from RefSeq and is a predicted model, not a curated record. NCBI's taxonomy places the organism in Eukaryota, Viridiplantae, Streptophyta, Magnoliopsida, Poales, Poaceae.
UCCCUCCCCUUUCGGCAAAAACCCCAACGCCGAGCAGAGCCGUCCCCCUUCCCCACCCAACCACGGCCCCGUCCCGUACCCAACCCCAGCGAAAACCCUAGCCGGAGCAUCCACCCGAUGUCUCUCGGCAGGCCCUACCGCGGCAAUGCCGCCGCAGGCGGCGAUGAUCGACGCGCUGCGCCGCUCGGCAACCGGCGGGGCCAAUCCGCCGCCGCCGGCGGCGGCGGCGCGGCGCUGCCCGGCUCCCUCGGCCUCGGGAGCUUCCCGCGGCACGACCUCCCCGCCCCACCCGACGGGCUCGACCUCAACGCCGUCGUCGCGCCGCCGGUGAGCCAAGUUGCCCCAGCCCCAGCUCGUCCUUCCCAUGCCUGUGUACAAAAACUCCGAGAUCGUGUCCGUACCUUGGAGACUGCAUUUUCUGACGCGGAUAGGAUUUUAAGGGAUAUUCAAGGUGAAAUACAACAGAUGAGGGAGGAGGGGCAUGAGAAAGACAGGCAAAUCCGAUCUAUCGUUGAAGAUUCAGAGAAGGAACGUCGGUCAAGGCACAUUAGAAUCAAGCAAUUCGACCAUGAUAAAGAGCUGAUGCGUGGCACCCUUCAGGGAUACAAAGAAAAACUUAAGAAGUCUUCUGAUGCAUUUCUGGAGUAUCAGAGGAUGUGUGAAGGAAGUGGCGUGUCAUCUUCGGGUGUUAUGGCUGAUGAGCAAAAUCGUAUUCUUAUGAUGGAGAAGCAAUCAUGCGUAGAUAACAUUACUUGGUUUCGGAAAUAUAUGCUAUCGAGGUUUGGAGAAUGUGCUGAUGAGAUUGCAAUACUGGCAACAAGGACUGCAUACCUCAACAAUGAACUUCAAAGGCUGAAUGAUUAUAUACAAAUUCCAGAUCUCAACAAUGGGGGUCCUCAACUGUGAAUUCUACAUUGGAGACUACAAGGGUGAUGCAGGUGGCCAUUGAAGCUUUUGCCAUGAAGGAUGGGAACUGAAGAUGAGGAGGAUUGCAUAUAUUUUGGUGUUGCUGACAUAACCAAGAUGCCGCAACAUGGUGCCUUAAGUAUUAUUAGUUCUGUAGCCUGUACCCGCAUACCGUGCUAUGUAAAGCCUAUUAUCAAAGACUCAAAAUAGAUGAUUUUGGACUGAAUGGAGGCUUUGACAAAUUAUCGUCAUUUGAAUGGGUAUAUCUGAUGUAGAUUACUCCAGUCCUCCCAAGAAAAGAUUGAAGCACAGCAGUUCAAAUGGGAAUGAUCGUUAUGAAGGGAAACAAGAAACACUAAGAGACUUCUCCUUUUCUUUUGAUAUUUGUGAGUAAGUUACACUGGCUUGUGGAGUGGUAGAUGUUUUUCUCAUAACUUCACGCAGUUAGUUGAUUGUGUUUAUUUUUGUUCUUAAAAGGCUGAGCAAGUUCAAUCUUCAAGUGAUGUUUGGAUUUGAGGAAAAUGAUAUGAGUAGACUUA